RNAcentral lists this ribosomal RNA (403 nucleotides) under uncultured bacterium. RNAcentral describes it as "bacterial SSU rRNA". It matches the Rfam family "Bacterial small subunit ribosomal RNA", at positions 360 to 779 of the family's 1533-position model. The record is from RNAcentral.
AAUCAUUCACAAUGGGGGCAACCCUGAUGGUGCGACGCCGCGUGGGGGAUAAGGUCUUCGGAUUGUAAACCCCUGUCAUGUGGGACAUUAAAAAGAUAGUACCACAAGAGGAAGAGACGGCUAACUCUGUGCCAGCAGCCGCGGUAAUACAGAGGUCUCAAGCGUUGUUCGGAAUCACUGGGCGUAAAGCGUGCGUAGGCUGUUUCGUAAGUCGUGUGUGAAAGGCAGGGGCUCAACCCCUGGAUUGCACAUGAUACUGCGAGACUAGAGUAAUGGAGGGGGAACCGGAAUUCUCGGUGUAGCAGUGAAAUGCGUAGAUAUCGAGAGGAACACUCGUGGCGAAGGCGGGUUCCUGGACAUUAACUGACGCUGAGGCGCGAAGGCCAGGGGAGCGAAAGGGAUU